This 428-nucleotide ribosomal RNA is filed under the name uncultured bacterium. Its description in RNAcentral is "partial 16S ribosomal RNA". It matches the Rfam family "Bacterial small subunit ribosomal RNA", at positions 354 to 796 of the family's 1533-position model. The record is from RNAcentral.
GUAGGGAAUAUUGGACAAUGGGGGCAACCCUGAUCCAGCGACGCCGCGUGAGUGAUGAAGGCCUUCGGGUCGUAAAGCUCUGUUGCAGGGGAAGAACACAAUGACGGUACCCUGCUAGAAAGGAUCGGCUAACUUCGUGCCAGCAGCCGCGGUAAGACGAGGGAUCCUAGCGUUGUUCGGAAUUAUUGGGCGUAAAGCGGGUGCAGGUGGCUUGGUAUGUCAGAUGUGAAAGACUGGGGCUUAACCCCAGAAGUGCAUUUGAUACUGCUGAGCUUGAGUGCUGGAGAGGCUAUUAGAAUUCCUGGUGUAGUGGUGAAAUACGUAGAUAUCAGGAGGAAUACCGGAGGCGAAGGCGGAUAGCUGGCCAGACACUGACACUCAGACCCGAAAGCGUGGGGAUCAAACAGGAUUAGAAACCCCUGUAGUCC